AAAAAGAUAAGCUAAGCUUUUCAAGCUAAUGGGUUCAUACCCCAUCUAUAGAGUCAAUCUCUUCUUUUUA
Molecule: transfer RNA, 70 nt
Filed under: Charinus ferreus
Lineage: Eukaryota; Metazoa; Arthropoda; Arachnida; Amblypygi; Charinidae
Description: tRNA-Met
Source: RNAcentral